Long non-coding RNA from Physella acuta, 567 nucleotides. RefSeq lists it as uncharacterized. NCBI's taxonomy places the organism in Eukaryota, Metazoa, Mollusca, Gastropoda, Physidae. The record is from RefSeq and is a predicted model, not a curated record.
AAGGAAAAGUCUAUGUAAUCAUACUAAAUUUUUAAAAAAUUAUUUUAAAAAAUAUGGCAAGCGAUAAAAUUAUAGCUACAAUUUUAAAAAUUAAAGUCGAUUAGGAACCAUCGAUUACACUCAUUUUCAUAUUUUUGUGUUGAACAUAAGCCGUUGAAAAUGAUUUUGAAUUAUUGUAUAAAUUUAAAUAUUUAAUAAAACCGCCCUCAACCCCACCUUGAACUGAACUGAAGUGGCCAGGGAGAGUAAAACGAUAAAUGUCAUAAUAUUUAUUGUCCAUGAUAAAUACGAACAAGGUUAUCCAAGAAAACAAAAUGGCGAACUAGGGAAUAUUUUCAGUUCGAUUUAGGCUUUCAAAAUUCGCCUGUGCUGUGACUACUCACUGUGACUGUGAGUUCUAUACUGUGGAUUAUACAACUGCAUACAGAGAAGACAAAAGUCAAGAUGAAGCUCAAUUUAAAAACUGAUCCAAGGAUACAUGUUGGACUCAAGAAAACUUGUUCAUAUUGAACAACUAUUUUUUAUUAUGUUAGUUCUGAAUGAAUAUGGCAAUUAAAAAAAGAAAAU